CCAGUUUGGGAGAUCCUUUGGAGAUCUCAAGUGAAGUGCACUUUUUCUUUUUGGCAAGCAAUUCUUUUUCAACUGACUGCAAAAGGGAGGGAAAGGUUUGCAUCAGAGGAGAGGAGGGUGAAAGGUUUGGUCCAAUGGUGAUCCUGAGGGGUUUGUAUGGGGAGCCAUCCUGAAAACUGCUCUCAAUGCAUCCGGUGGAGAAAUCGGUGUGAAGUGACACUUUUAUUUGCACCAAGAUUUGUCGUCCCUGCAAGAAAGAGAAGAAGAUUUAUGAAGCAAGACGACAGGUGGAAGCCUAGAGCAGAAUCCUCUUAUUUUAUUUAUUUGCAUUACCAGAACUGGAAGUUGCUCAGAUUGAUGAAAUUGGGCCAAUACCGGUUUAGCUCAGUCAUCAGAUCCUGCUGGGAGGAAAAACAGCAGAAGUUGAGAUACUCUUGGU
Long non-coding RNA from Sceloporus undulatus (fence lizard), 439 nucleotides. RefSeq lists it as uncharacterized. Lineage: Eukaryota; Metazoa; Chordata; Lepidosauria; Squamata; Phrynosomatidae. The record is from RefSeq and is a predicted model, not a curated record. The transcript is spliced from 3 exons.